UGGGGAAUAUUGGACAAUGGGCGAAAGCCUGAUCCAGCCAUGCCGCGUGUGUGAAGAAGGUCUUCGGACUGUAAAGCACUUUAAGUUGGGAGGAAGGGCAGUAAGCGAAUACCUUGCUGUUUUGACGUUACCGACAGAAUAAGCACCGGCUAACUCUGUGCCAGCAGCCGCGGUAAUACAGAGGGUGCAAGCGUUAAUCGGAAUUACUGGGCGUAAAGCGCGCGUAGGUGGUUCGUUAAGUUGAAUGUGAAAGCCCCGGGCUCAACCUGGGAACUGCAUCCAAAACUGGCGAGCUAGAGUAGGGCAGAGGGUGGUGGAAUUUCCUGUGUAGCGGUGAAAUGCGUAGAUAUAGGAAGGAACACCAAUGGCGAAGGCGACCACCUGGGCUCAUACUGACACUGAGGUGCGAAAGCGUAGGGAGCAAACAGG
This 429-nucleotide ribosomal RNA is filed under the name Pseudomonadota bacterium. RNAcentral's name for it is "Proteobacteria bacterium partial 16S ribosomal RNA". It matches the Rfam family "Bacterial small subunit ribosomal RNA", at positions 355 to 776 of the family's 1533-position model. Lineage: Bacteria; Pseudomonadati; Pseudomonadota. The record is from RNAcentral.